This 2034-nucleotide ribosomal RNA is filed under the name human metagenome. Its description in RNAcentral is "bacterial LSU rRNA". It matches the Rfam family "Bacterial large subunit ribosomal RNA", at positions 1 to 1977 of the family's 2925-position model. The record is from RNAcentral.
GCAAGAUACCACGGGCGCACGGCGGAUGCCUUGGCACAGGGAGCCGAUGAAGGACGCGGCAAGCUGCGAUAAUCCCCGGCGAGGAGCACACAUCCUUCGACCCGGGGGUCUCCGAAUGGGCGAACCCAUCCACAGAGGUGUGGAUAUCCCCGGCCCGAACACAUAGGGCCGGGGAGGACAACCCGGGGAACUGAAACAUCUAAGUACCCGGAGGAGAGGAAAUCAAUCUCGAGACUCCCCGAGUAGCGGCGAGCGAAAGGGGACCGAUGGCCAAACCGUCGAGCGGGCAUACCCGGCAGGGGUUCCGCCGACGGGGUUGCAGGGCCGCGCAUCCGGGGGCUGCCGCCCCCGGGCGCAGGUCCGGCUGGGGAGCGGAACGGCAUGGGAGGGCCGGCCGCAGCGGGUGACAGCCCCGUACGCGAACCCAGACCGGACGGCGCGACGCGGUCCCUGAGUAGGGCCGGGCACGUGAAACCCGGUCCGAACCUGGGUGGACCACCAUCCAAGCCUGAGUACUACCCUGUGACCGAUAGCGCACCAGUACCGUGAGGGAAAGGUGAAAAGCACCCCGGGAGGGGAGUGAAACAGUACCUGAAACCGUGCGCCCACGAGCAGUCGGAGCAACUUUAUGUUGUGACGGCGUGCCUUUUGUAGAAUGAGCCAGCGAGUCGCUGGCGCGGGGCGAGGUUAACCGAAAGGGAGCCGGAGCGAAAGCGAGCCUUAACAGGGCGACUUGAGUCCCGCGCCGCGGACGCGAAGCCGGGUGAGCUAUCCGUGGGCAGGCUGAAGCGGGGGUAAGACCCCGUGGAGGGCCGAACGCACGUCGGUUGAAAACGGCGGCGAUGACCUGCGGAUAGGGGUGAAAGGCCAAUCAAACCCGGAGAUAUCUCGUUCUCCCCGAAAUAGCUUUAGGGCUAGCGUCGCGCGUUCACCGCCGGAGGUAGAGCACCGGAUGGACGAGGGGGCUUCGCCGCCUACCGAAUCCAACCGAACUCCGAAUGCCGGCGGCCCAGAGCGCGGCAGUCAGAGCAUGUGGGCUAAGCUGUGUGCUCGAGAGGGAAACAGCCCGGACCGCCCGCUAAGGUCCCCAAGUUCCAGCCGAGUGGCAAAGGAUGUGCGUCCGCCCAGACAACCAGGAUGUUGGCUUAGAAGCAGCCAUCCAUUCAAAGAGUGCGUAACAGCUCACUGGUCGAGUGGACAUGCGCCGACAAUACACGGGGCUAAGCUGGACACCGAAGCGGCGGGAUUUUGAUUUACAGAAUCGGUAGGGGAGCUUCCCAUGGGCGGAGAAGCCGGAGGGCGACCGACGGUGGAGCGCAUGGGAGUGAGAAUGCUGGCAUGAGUAGCGAGAGACGAGAGAGUAACUCGUCCGCCGUGAACCCGAGGUUUCCUGGGCAAGGCUAAUCCUCCCAGGGUCAGUCGGGGGCUAAGGCGAGGCCGGGAGGCGUAGCCGACGCGCAGCAGGCAGACAUUCCUGCACCGCGCACGCGGCGCUACGACCGACGGGGCGACGGAUGGGGGUGGCUCGGCGGGGUUCUGGACGUCCCCGUGAUGGAGCGCGGCCCGCGGACCAGGGAAAUCCGGUCCGCAUUGAGGGCGAGGCUCCGGACGAAGCGAUUGAGCGAAGCGAGUGAGCCCGAGGUCCCUAGAAAAACCCCUAGGCAGGCGCGUGCGCGCCCGUACCGCAAACCGACACAGGUGGGUGGGUAGAACAUACCGAGGCGAUCGGGUCAACCAUGGUCAAGGAACUCGGCACAAUGGCCCCGUAACUUCGGGAGAAGGGGUGCCCGCGCGUACGUGAACCGGCUCGCCCGGGGAGCGGAGGCGGGCCGCAGUGGAGAGGCCCAAGCGACUGUUUACCAAAAACACAGGACUCUGCAGAAGCCGCAAGGCGACGUAUAGGGUCUGACGCCUGCCCGGUGCCGGAAGGUCACGCGGAGGAGUUAGCCGAUUCGGCGAAGCCCCGAAGCCAAGCCCCGGUAAACGGCGGCCGUAACUAUAACGGUCCUAAGGUAGCGAAAUUCCUUGUCGGGU